CUCUUUCUGAUUCAUGUCUCGGUCUUCCACAGCUUUUAUAGGAUUUCAUUUGCUCUCCUUUCUCCCCUUUUUCUAGGGUUUGUUCUAGGGUUUUUGUUUUCGUGUCUCUCCGAUCGACGUGAUUCUCUACAAAUCACCUCUCCUCCAGACGAUCUCUGAAUCCAAUCUACUGGGGAUUUUAUAUAAGAUCACAGCUGUGUAGGCUUUGAUAUUUUGUAGAUGCCCGUGGCAAAACUAAGAGCUUGUAGCAUUUCUGAUGCAAUGAAGCCUGAACAGAAGGUUGGCAAGCCAGAGAAGGAAGGGCACGAUUCCCUCGACGGUUUCAUUAGACAAGCAAUGGCAAAAGAACCAUUCUUUCCUUUCUCGAGGGCUGGUGAGAGCCCAGUCCAGUGGAUCCAACUGCUUCACGCUUUAGACCAACAGGGAACCAACAACUUUUCCAAUGGUCCAAAGGUUGAUAAUGCUAUAGAAGGGAAGGAACAUUCACUAGAGCAUUGCAAUGGUGUGAGUUCAUUUGCAUCUGAGAUAAAUGGGGCAAAGGAAUCUGGUCAUGCUAUGAGGGCUAGCGGAAUACCUGUAAAGGGGACAAAGAGCACUUCUGAACAAAUGCAAACCCUCAAAAUUCCUGAGGCUGUCGUUGCCUUUGCUCAGGCCACUGCUAAGGCCAAUGGUGACCCUGAAAAAUAUCUUCCAGGUUGGCCCUUGUUGUCGCCUCUUAAGGUGCAGAUGCAAAAGUGCGAUAAGUGUUCUCGAGAAUUCUGUUCCCCCAUUAACUAUCGACGGCACAUACGUGUACAUAGGCGAUCUUUGAACAUCGAUAAGGAUUCUCCUAAGAACAGGGAAUUGUUGGGCGCAUUUUGGGAUAAGCUAUCUUUGGAUGAGGCAAUGGAGAUUGCAUCGUUGAAGAAUGCGACACUAGAGGAAGUUACUGGAUCUUCAAUUAUAAAGGCAUUGACAUCACUUAUCAGAAAACCUGGGUUUUCUUCACUGCCACAUGUUUAUGUAAAGGCUGGUGCUGCUCUUCUGGACAUUAUCCAAGCUAGUCCUUCCAGGUUUCCCAUAUCCUCCCAGGAACUUUUCAGUCUACUUGAUGAUGCCAGUGAGAAGACCUUCUUGUGUGCUGGCACAGUGACAUCUAUGCAAAAGUUCGUAUUUGAUGGGGAAGCAUCGAAGAUUGGUCUAGAGAUGAAGAAUCUAGUUGCUUGCACUAGUUUGCUGGUGGAGCAGAAACUGGUUAAAGCAUGGCUCGCUGAUAAGGAUGCUGAAGCUCUAAGGUGCCAAAAGUUGCUGGUGGAGGAAGAGGAAGCUGCUCAAAAGAGGCAGGCUGAACUCUUAGAAAGGAAGCGGCUGAAGAAGCUGAGGCAGAAAGAGCAGAAAGCGAAGGACGGGGACAAGGUAGAUUUCAAAGAGUGCUCUCCAGAUAAUGCUGAGGGUUCAUCUUCUUCUGCAGCACUGUCUAAUCCAGAUACCCCCUCGGAAUCUGAUUCAAAUCCACCGGAAGCAUCACUGGAACCUGUCCAACUGUUUCCAGAACCUGUCAGAUCUUUGGAUGCUGACAUGGAAGUGGAUGUCAGGUGCUGCUCAGGAUCCGACUUGGCCAAUGGUCAGAAUGGAGAGUACAGAGCCCGAAUUCAUAUGGGAAGCAGCCAGCGGCAGUUUUCUCGAUGGCCGGCGCCGAAACUUCUGAGGAACACACUGAAUGGUUCUCAUUUGGGUCAGGUUCCGGUGCCAAAGUCGGUAGUCAUGCAGAAGCACUGUAGCUAUAGAGAUCAGCAGAAAGCCGCACCUUCAGUCAAUGGCCAUAAGGUGUGGACCCGCAAAACCAAGGUUGAGGGCGAAGGAGAUGGUUGCAAUUCGAAUGGUAGAAGACCAAGGGAAUCCAUAAACCAACUGGAACAGAAUGACAACUGUGAGCUCUUGAUUGGUUCGAUUUGUGUCACCCUUGGAAGUUCCAACAGCCACCAUCAAGAUGAUAAUCAGGCGGCUGCUCUUGAUCAGUGUUCGGCCGAUCAUCAUCUCCUGAGAUGUGAUGGUGUCCAAGAGAAGCCUGCCAAGCAAGACUCAGGUCAGAAUGGUGUGAACCGGCUCAUGGUGAAGCUGUGGAGGCCAGUGGGCCGGCAGGAAUUUGAUGGAGGCCCUGUGGUGGUUCAAAGCAGCAAAAGAGAAGUCGAAACCAAUGGAGUUUCUGGCACAACUGUUGAAAGGAUUCUGUCAGAUGAGAGCUGUCUGGCCUGUCGUGUGAUUGCUGAUAGCUGUUCCAGUAGGUCUGAGGAUUCUUUUAGAGCUGCUGACGGUGGAGAAUAUAGCCGUGCUGCAGAGGCUUUUCUUGCCCAGCGAUGGAAGGAGGCUAUGGCCACAGACCAUGUGAAGCUGGUCCUUACCCCUGAAACUGAAACUCCAGAGUGCCUCGAGAUUCUUGAUGGCCCUUGCACGGAGGAACCAUCACCAUCGGAUGGUCGCAGCAUCCUUGGCAGUGCAGAAAACCGGCUGGCUGGGGUGGGCCAGGCUGCAGCCGGUGGUUCUGAUAAGCCCAAGUUCAGAGCAAAGGCUGAGAAAGGUUGCAGGCUUAAAUACAUUCCCAAGAAGAGAAGCAAUGGCUGAGGUAAUCUACAUGGUAGUUCUAACUGCCUGUUGCUUUAAUCUUCACCACAUGGUCUGGAGUGGCAUGUUGAAUAUGGGUUUAGCUAACCUCACAUACAUUUAUAUGUUCUAGAGUAUCUCAAGGUAGUUGGUCUUCUUUUCAACAUAGAGGUCCCAAUCAAUACACUGAAUUCACUGGCCUUGUGAUUACUCCACAAGUUUAGCAUAAAGAAAGGAGAAAACCUCAGCACUGUCAUUUGGCUCGACUUUUCUAAGGCAACAAUUUCAAGACAUGGUCCGAAUAAUUAGUCUCUAAUGCAGCUACCUUAUUCUGGGAAAUUCCUCGAAGAAACGGCAAUGAUAAGCACGACUAGUUAUCUUUGUUUGAAGUCUCCGGGAGGUUGAAUUUUUUAUUUCGAUAACCCGUGAGUGUAUUUUUACUUGUUUUGAAGCUUAAGUGCUGUUUAGUUGUAGUUUGCGAUAUUGAGUUGAAAAUGAUUCACGGCAAAAAGAUUCAGAAACAGUGGGAAUUCAAGAAGAGAGAGAAUGGCAUUGAUUCUUUAAGCAAUGGAUGUGAAUCGAGCUCCAGUGCUGAACCGAUCUUUAAGAAGCAUAAGUCUAUCUUGAAUUUGAAAUCACCUGAAGCCGCAGAAGGUCGUGAUAUCGGUAGCCUUCAGUUUGAGAGAAGACCCAAUAAGAUGAAGAGAAGAUCAUCUCACGAAGAUGGGUUGAAGAACAAGAGUAGCCAGUGCGAACCUGCCACAACGAAUAUUAUCCGCAAUUUCAUGGAGACAGUAUUGGAGGAACUUAGAGUCGGGAGAGAGGCCAUGUUGGUGUCAAUGAGGAAAGAGGUGCACAAAAUGAUGAAAGAUACUGCUCCAAUGCUGACAACAACGGGUGUUCUUAAGCGGGAUCGGAUUGGAACCCACCAUCAGAGCAGCAUUGGGUCGUUGGCAAAUGUUCAGAACUGUGAUCAUGGAAGCAUGGUGGUGCCCACCAAACGGAGAAGGGAUGCCGGUUGUCAGACUGAUGCUGAAGUCCUUGAAAAAGAAGACGGUCACAGCCAAACUGUUGGAGUUUUGAACAGAACUGAGCCUGGAAGAGGACAAGGACGGCGGUUGUCUAUUAGGGGACCUUCGCUCCCCGCCAAUUCCAAUACAACCGAUUCUUCUACGCAAUUCAAUUAUCUAACUCUACCCACCGUUGUACCUGAGACCUGCAUCGAAAACCAAAGAUUCAAUCCUCUUUCAUGCAACUCUCUUGGAACGAAAGCGGUGGGGAACGGAACCUGCACUGGAAAAGUAAAUCUGGCAGUUGAUUCAAGUGUGCAAUGUGGUAGCUUUGUGGGCCCCCCACAUGAAGAAAAGUUCAGAAAUACCAGCCAGACAGGUUCUUCUCAAUAUAGUACGGGUUAUAUCAGUCAAGACAAAAUGACCGCAUUGUCUAAUCCUGGAUCUGGGUUUCUUGCCCCGUUCUAUCACAGUCCUGAUGGCAGUUUGAAGAUCCACUCCCAGCUCCCGAAUUUAUUUGAUUUGGGUGUCAAUGGACGGACAGGAUCAGCUAGGGGACACGGGCUAAUGGAAUUCUAUGUUGCUAAUGAUCUUUUCAACAUUGCGAACUCGAAAACUGAGGAUGUGUUGUUUCAAGGUAAUCUGACAAGUAGGUCCCAGAGAGAGUAAGUUAUACAUGAGUUAGAUGUGUCGAGAUUGAAUUCUUAGUGAUUAGCCUGGAUUGAUUUCUUGCUUCUUCUGUCCAUUUAAGUUCAAAUGCAAAUGAAUUAUGAAUAAAAACGCAGGCUUAUCCCUUUCUGUGUUCA
Molecule: RNA transcript, 4396 nt
Organism: Magnolia sinica
Lineage: Eukaryota; Viridiplantae; Streptophyta; Magnoliopsida; Magnoliales; Magnoliaceae
Exons: 12
Source: RefSeq, a predicted model, not a curated record